Long non-coding RNA from Gopherus flavomarginatus (Mexican gopher tortoise), 1634 nucleotides. RefSeq lists it as uncharacterized. NCBI's taxonomy places the organism in Eukaryota, Metazoa, Chordata, Testudines, Testudinidae. The transcript is spliced from 3 exons. The record is from RefSeq and is a predicted model, not a curated record.
UCACCGGGCAGAGCCCGCCUCGGGGACACCGCGCGGAUCAGCCCCGACCUGUCACCGCCCCGCCCCCCUGUGCGGGAAACAGGCCUGCCCGGGCCGCCGGGGGCCGCGGAGGUGACGGACACACAGCUGGGGAGCUGGACGGACAGACACAUGGCCGGGGAGCUGGACGGCUCCAUGCUGGACGGACAGACACAUGGCCGGGGAGCUGGACGGCGUUGUGCUGGACGGACAGACACACGGCUGGAUAGCUGGACGGCUCCGUGCUGGACGGACAGACACAGAGCUGGGUAGCUGGACGGCUCCGUGCUGGACGGACAGACACACGGCUGGGGAGCUGGACGGCGUUGUGCUGGACGGACAGACACACGGCUGGGGAGCUGGACGGCUCCGUGCUGGACGGACAGACACAGGGCUGGGGAGCUGGACGGCUCCAUGCUGGACGGACAGACACACGGCUGGGGAGCUGGACGGCGUUACACAGGGCUGGGGAGCUGGACGGCUCCAUGCUGGACGGACAGACACACGGCUGGGGAGCUGGAUGGCUUGGUGCUGGACAGACAGACACACAGCUGGGGAGCUAGAUGUCUGGCUGGAUGGACAGACACACGGCUGGGGAGCUGGACAGACAGACACACAGCUGGGGUGCUGGACGGCUCCAUGCUGGACGGACAGACACACGGCUUGGGAGCUGGAUGGCUCCGUGCUGGACAGACAGACACAUGGCUGGGAAGCUAGAUGUCUGGCUGGAUGGACAGACACACGGCUGGGAAGCUGGACGGCUCAAUGCUGGACAGACAGACACACAGCUGGGGUGCUGGACGGCUCCGUGCUGGACGGACAGACACACGGCUGGGUAGCUGGACUGCUCGGUGCUGGACGGACGGACACAUGGCUGGGUAGCUAAAUGGAUGGCUGGACGGACAGACACACGGCUGGGUAGCUGGAUGGCUGGGUAGAUGUGUAUUGUUGUGGAGCCCUGUCGCUCCCAGGAUGUUACAGACAUUAGUUUGGUGAGAGAUGAGCUUCAGAACUCUUCCUCAGAUCUGGGACAGGAAUUCCAAUCUGUGACACUCUGAGUAAGUUUCCCAGACCUCCAGAAGAGCUCUGGGUGUCUCAGAGGCAUGUGUCUCUCACAACAAAAUAUAUUACCUCACCCAGCUUGUCUCUCACAUGAAUAGAUGGAUGGACAGAGGAAUAAAUGAAUAAUAGGCAGACAGAUAAAUGGACGGAUGGAUCAGAUAAAGAGGGAAUAGAUCAGAUAGAUUGCAGAUUAACUAAAGUACAUUUGGGAUGAACUGGUAAAUGGAAUAAAGUUUGGAUGGACAGAUAGAUUGGACAAAGCUCGGAGGAAUAGAAAGGUAGAUGGAUAGAUUUAGAUAUAGUUAAAAGUAGGAAAAACAGAUUAGGUAAUGUCAGGAUAGCUUUAAAUAGACAACAAUACUUAGUCCUUAAAUUGUAUUACUUUGCAAAGAUGAGACUGUCUUUAUUCCCCACUUUUAGAAAUAGGGAAAUUGAGGCACAGAGAGGGGAAGUGACUUGCCAGUGGUUGCUCAGAAGUUAGUAGCAGAGCCAGAAAUAGAACGUAAGUCUGUAUCCAAAGCUGCCCCUAGGCUAUACAAAGCCGCACUCAUUGG